UGAGAUUAAAAGCGUUUAGUUGCUGCGAAAACAAGGGAUCCACAUGUAAUUUAGUAAAUAAAAACAAAAAAAAACUGUAGUUAAUCCGUGUGAUAAUUUUAAAAAUGAAGUGACUUAAGUGAAAAAUGUGUUUUAUGGAUGUUAGCAGACUUCUGGGCUGUUUAACAGCUCUGGUUGCUUGUCUCAGUCCUCCCAUCUGGCAACCCUGAACCUAGCUUGCCUCCGUUUAGCGUCUCAUGUUAGCAGUUGUAGUGCAUCACAGCUUCAAGCUUGUACAAAGAUAUAAAAUCAGUACGUUUUGGUACAUGCACAGUGGUGAGACUGAGACUCAGGGACGUAGGUUCAAGCUAACGUGGUGAUUUGAAGGCAACAUGAAUGAGGAAUCUUCCUGUAAAUGCCCCGGCCAAGCUCUCCCCUGGGGAUUUAGAACCAGGUCUGAUCUCUUAUCUGAGUACACCCUGGAAGCACAGCCCUGCCAGUAACGUUACAUCUCGUGAUGGACACCGACCCAAAGAUGACAACAUAAAAUCUCACAGGAAUGGAAGUGACUGUGGUCAAAGUCCUUUGUAUGGAACUAAGACUGAACAUGAAAUAGUUUCAUUACAGUUAAAAACUGAGGAUAAACUGUGGAGCAGUUUCCAGUCUACUUGCUGAAGUUGUCUGGAGUCCCAGUCAACCAGGAGAAGUCAAACUUUUUUUUGAUGAAAAGGACAGUCACACUGCAGCAGAAAGAUCUGAACAACCCAAGGAGACUGAUGACGACAAGAAACAUUUCUGUGAGAUUUGCAAAAAAGAAUUCAGACUUCAAAGUCAU
Molecule: long non-coding RNA, 814 nt
Organism: Micropterus salmoides (largemouth bass)
Lineage: Eukaryota; Metazoa; Chordata; Actinopteri; Centrarchiformes; Centrarchidae
Exons: 3
Source: RefSeq, a predicted model, not a curated record